GGAAUUGUAGCUCAGUGGUAGAGUGCUUACCUAGCAUGUGUGAGGCACUGGGUUUGAUUCUCAGCACCA
Molecule: transfer RNA, 69 nt
Filed under: Urocitellus parryii (Arctic ground squirrel)
Lineage: Eukaryota; Metazoa; Chordata; Mammalia; Rodentia; Sciuridae
Also listed under: 2 other names
Description: Spermophilus parryii (Arctic ground squirrel) tRNA
Rfam family: tRNA
About the family: Transfer RNA (tRNA) molecules are approximately 80 nucleotides in length. Their secondary structure includes four short double-helical elements and three loops (D, anti-codon, and T loops). Further hydrogen bonds mediate the characteristic L-shaped molecular structure. tRNAs have two regions of fundamental functional importance: the anti-codon, which is responsible for specific mRNA codon recognition, and the 3' end, to which the tRNAs corresponding amino acid is attached (by aminoacyl-tRNA synthetases). tRNAs cope with the degeneracy of the genetic code in two manners: having more than one tRNA (with a specific anti-codon) for a particular amino acid; and 'wobble' base-pairing, i.e. permitting non-standard base-pairing at the 3rd anti-codon position.
Source: Rfam by way of RNAcentral